RNAcentral lists this transfer RNA (88 nucleotides) under Pandoraea iniqua. Its description in RNAcentral is "Pandoraea sp. LMG 31009 tRNA-Ser". It matches the Rfam family "tRNA". Rfam says of the family: Transfer RNA (tRNA) molecules are approximately 80 nucleotides in length. Lineage: Bacteria; Pseudomonadati; Pseudomonadota; Betaproteobacteria; Burkholderiales; Burkholderiaceae. The record is from RNAcentral. RNAcentral also lists the same sequence under 1 other name.
GGAAGUGUGGCCGAGUGGUUUAAGGCACCGGUCUUGAAAACCGGCGACGAGCAAUCGUCCGUGAGUUCGAAUCUCACCGCCUCCGCCA